RNAcentral lists this unclassified non-coding RNA (376 nucleotides) under soil metagenome. RNAcentral describes it as "partial contains 5.8S ribosomal RNA, internal transcribed spacer 2, and large subunit ribosomal RNA". The stretch from base 1 to 120 matches the Rfam family "5.8S ribosomal RNA", at positions 35 to 154 of the family's 154-position model. The record is from RNAcentral.
GAUGAAGAACGUAGCGAAAUGCGAUAAGUAAUGUGAAUUGCAGAAUUCAGUGAAUCAUCGAAUCUUUGAACGCAUCUUGCGCUCCUUGGUAUUCUGAGGAGCAUGCCUGUUUGAGUGUUAUUAAAUUCUCAACUACACUGACUUUGAAUUGGUGUGGCUUGGAUUUGGGGGGAAAAUUGUUGUGGGCUUUUUGUAUAGUCUGCUCCCCUGAAAUUGAUUAGCGGUACCUUUGUGGAACUGUCUACAGGUGUGAUAAUUAUCUACAUCUUAGACAUCUGCUGGAAUGCUGCUUUCUAAACCUUACUUGUAUUGACAAUCUUGACCUCAAAUCAGGUAGGACUACCCGCUGAACUUAAGCAUAUCAAUAAGCGGAGGA